RNAcentral lists this ribosomal RNA (1013 nucleotides) under Pantoea agglomerans. RNAcentral describes it as "bacterial SSU rRNA". It matches the Rfam family "Bacterial small subunit ribosomal RNA", at positions 41 to 1035 of the family's 1533-position model. The record is from RNAcentral. Lineage: Bacteria; Pseudomonadati; Pseudomonadota; Gammaproteobacteria; Enterobacterales; Erwiniaceae.
GGUAAGUGGCGGCUACCUGCAGUCGGACGGUAGCACAGAGAGCUUGCUCUCGGGUGACGAGUGGCGGACGGGUGAGUAAUGUCUGGGGAUCUGCCCGAUAGAGGGGGAUAACCACUGGAAACGGUGGCUAAUACCGCAUAACGUCGCAAGACCAAAGAGGGGGACCUUCGGGCCUCUCACUAUCGGAUGAACCCAGAUGGGAUUAGCUAGUAGGCGGGGUAAUGGCCCACCUAGGCGACAAUCCCUAGCUGGGCUGAGAGGAUGACCAGCCACACUGGAACUGAGACACGGUCCAGACUCCUACGGGAGGCAGCAGUGGGGAAUAUUGCACAAUGGGCGCAAGCCUGAUGCAGCCAUGCCGCGUGUAUGAAGAAGGCCUUCGGGUUGUAAAGUACUUUCAGCGGGGAGGAAGGCGGUGCGGUUAAUAACCGCGCCGAUUGACGUUACCCGCAGAAAAAACACCGGCUAACUCCGUGCCACCAGCCGCGGUAAUACGGAGGGUGCAAGCGUUAAUCGGAAUUACUGGGCGUAAAGCGCACGCAGGCGGUCUGUUAAGUCAGAUGUGAAAUCCCCGGGCUUAACCUGGGAACUGCAUUUGAAACUGGCAGGCUUGAGUCUUGUAGAGGGGGGUAGAAUUCCAGGUGUAUCGGUGAGAUGCGUAUAGAUCUGGAGGAAUACCGGUGGCGAAAGCGGCCCCCUGUACAAAGACUGACGCUCACGUGCGAAAGCGUGGGGAGCAAACAGGAUUAUAUACACUGGUAGUCCACGCCGUAUACGAUGUCGACUUGUAGGUUGUUCCCUCUGAGGAGUGGCUUCCCGGAGCUAACGCGUUAAGUCGACCGCCUGGGGAGUACGGCCGCAAAGGUGAUAAACUCAAAUGAGUUUGACGGGGGCCCGCACAAGCGGUGGGAGCAUGUGUGGUAAUACGAUGCAACGCGAAGAACACUUACCUACUCUCGACAUCCACGGAAUUCGGCAGAGAUGCCUUAGUGCCUUCGGGGAACACGUGAGAC